UUUAUUUUGCAGCAUUGUGGAAUAAUGAAAGGCGGACGCAAUCUGUCACUUGAGGAUGGGCCUGCGGCGCAUUAGCUAGUUGGUGGGUGUAACGGCUCACCAAGGCGACGAUGCGUAGCCGACCUGAGAGGGUGAACGGCCACACUGGGACUGAGACACGGCCCAGACUCCUACGGGAGGCAGCAGUAGGGAAUCUUCCGCAAUGGGCGAAAGCCUGACGGAGCAACGCCGCGUGAGUGAUGAAGGUUUUCGGAUCGUAAAGCUCUGUUGCCAAGGAAGAACGUCUUCUAGAGUAACUGCUAGGAGAGUGACGGUACUUGAGAAGAAAGCCCCGGCUAACUACGUGCCAGCAGCCGCGGUAAUACGUAGGGGGCAAGCGUUGUCCGGAAUUAUUGGGCGUAAAGCGCGCGCAGGCGGUUCUUUAAGUUGCUGGUGUUUAAACCCGAGGCUCAACUUCGGGUCGCACUGGCAAACUGGGGAACUUGAGUGCAGAAGAGGUCAGAGUGGAAUUCCACGUGUAGCGGUGAAAUGCGUAGAUAUGUGGAGGAACACCAGUGGCGAAGGCGACUCUCUGGGCUGUAACUGACGCU
RNAcentral lists this ribosomal RNA (590 nucleotides) under Paenibacillus alvei. RNAcentral describes it as "bacterial SSU rRNA". It matches the Rfam family "Bacterial small subunit ribosomal RNA", at positions 173 to 747 of the family's 1533-position model. The record is from RNAcentral. Lineage: Bacteria; Bacillati; Bacillota; Bacilli; Caryophanales; Paenibacillaceae.